CUCGAUGGGGGAAGGGGAGGAAUGGUAUUCCAGGCAGAGGGAGUGGUGUGGAAACAGCACUGCAGCGUGGAGUAGCAUAAUGUACUCAGGAACCUGCAUGUUGCUGAACAGGAAUGAGGGCCAGUGGCGGGGAGCAUAGCAGGAAAUGAGGCAAAGGCAUGGUGAGGAGACAAGCCGUGAAGGACAUUCUGUGUUAAACUAGAAGUUUGAUCUUUAUUCUGAAGAAUAUGGGAGCUCAUUCAAGGAGUUUAAAAGCAGAAAAUACAGAUUACAGGAUGGAAACUGCUUCAACUUCCCAUUGUCAGACCCACAAAACCACCCCUGCAUCAGUUCCUUUUUUUUACUUCCUUCCUAUUGCUAUAAAGGAAAUGUCCUUCUUCUUGUUGAAGACCAGCCUCUAAAUGAGCUCUGGAUCCGAUUCCCUACCAGGAGCUGCAACAGAGGAGACAAAGGAAAAGGGAGCAAGGUGGAGAAUGAGCCAGCCCUUAAACUGUGAAAAAACCAAGGGGAACUUUAGCAGAAUUGGCUUCAAAGACUGGGACCCAAGGAUAUCAUCACUGAAAGGAGACGUCAGUAGAAGGUCCACUGGCCGUGCAUAAUGGUGAUGGAUGUUCUGGAGUCAGAUUGGCAGGGUCUGAAUCCCAGGUCCCCCACUUUCUCACAGAGCCCCAUUGGGUCACAAAAUAACAGAAAAACACUUAGCACCUUACAAAUACUGCUCUCUCACGGUAGACCAAUGAGUUAGGCACUCUUAUAUGCACAUUACAGAGAUGAGAACAAGUUUCAUGACCUCUAGAAACCUCAUGAUGGUAUGAUAAUGAUAGUUCUCCUUAUUGGGAUUAUGGUGGGUUUUCACCAAAAUAAUCCAGGCAAAUGAUCAGCACAGUCUGUGGCUCAAUGGAUGUGUUCAAUAAAUGUUAGUCUGGAGGGCUAGGUGAGAGGAAAAACGUUAGCUUCCAGAAAUCAGGGUUUUGAUAAGAAGGAGUAAUGGUCUGCAAGCAACACUGAGAAACAAAGAGGACAAUGACCCAACUUCUAGUCUUGAAGAACAUGGAGCAUAAAGCAAAGAAACCAGCAAAAUACUACAUCAAAGUUAGAAAAUUCUCUGUGAGUAAUGUAUAGUAAUAUACAAAAUUGUUCAAUCAAUAUGUUGUACACCUGAAACUAAUAUAAUGACAAAACCAA
Long non-coding RNA from Neogale vison (American mink), 1185 nucleotides. RefSeq lists it as uncharacterized. NCBI's taxonomy places the organism in Eukaryota, Metazoa, Chordata, Mammalia, Carnivora, Mustelidae. The record is from RefSeq and is a predicted model, not a curated record. The transcript is spliced from 2 exons.